RNAcentral lists this ribosomal RNA (461 nucleotides) under uncultured bacterium. RNAcentral describes it as "partial 16S ribosomal RNA". It matches the Rfam family "Bacterial small subunit ribosomal RNA", at positions 338 to 795 of the family's 1533-position model. The record is from RNAcentral.
CCUACGGGAGGCUGCAGUGAGGAAUAUUGGUCAAUGGGCGGAAGCCUGAACCAGCCAAGUAGCGUGCAGGAUGACGGCCCUACGGGUUGUAAACUGCUUUUAUACGGGAAUAACGCGCCUUACGUGUAGGGCUUAGCGAGAGUACCUGAAGAAAAAGCAUCGGCUAACUCCGUGCCAGCAGCCGCGGUAAUACGGAGGAUGCGAGCGUUAUCCGGAUUUAUUGGGUUGAAAGGGUGCGUAGGCGGAAUAUCAAGUCAGCGGUAAAAAUUCGGGGCUCAACCCCGUCGUGCCGUUGAAACUGAUGUUCUUGAGUGGGCGAGAAGUAUGCGGAAUGCGUGGUGUAGCGGUGAAAUGCAUAGAUAUCACGCAGAACUCCGAUUGCGAAGGCAGCAUACCGGCGCCCAACUGACGCUGAAGCACGAAAGCGUGGGUAUCGAACAGGAUUAGAUACCCCAGUAGUC